Molecule: ribosomal RNA, 364 nt
Filed under: uncultured eukaryote
Lineage: Eukaryota
Description: SSU rRNA
Rfam family: Eukaryotic small subunit ribosomal RNA
Source: RNAcentral
AGCUCCAGUAGCGUAUAUUAAUGUUGUUGCAGUUAAAAAGCUCGUAGUUGGAUUUCUAGCACGACAUGGACGGACCGGUGAUACUUCGAUAGAACUGAGUUCCAUUUGUGUCUGUUAUCUUGACGGUUGCUUCGGCGAUUGUCUCAUUUACUUUGAAAAAUUAGAGUGUUUAAAGCAGGCUUGCGCAAUGAAUACAUUAGCAUGGAAUAAUAACAUAAGACUUUUGUUUUAUUUUGUUGGUUCAUAAAGCAUUAGUAAUGAUUGAUAGGGAUAGUUGGGGGUGCUAGUAUUGAGCGGCCAGAGGUGAAAUUCGGGGAUUCGCUCAAGACUAACUUAUGCGAAAGCAUUCACCAAGGAUGUCUUC